UAGCUCAGUUGGUAGAGCAGUUGGCUUUUAACCAAUUGGUCGUAGGUUCGAAUCC
This 55-nucleotide transfer RNA is filed under the name Pseudomonas sp. BN505. RNAcentral's name for it is "tRNA-Lys". It matches the Rfam family "tRNA", at positions 8 to 60 of the family's 71-position model. From Rfam's summary of the family: Transfer RNA (tRNA) molecules are approximately 80 nucleotides in length. Their secondary structure includes four short double-helical elements and three loops (D, anti-codon, and T loops). The record is from RNAcentral. Lineage: Bacteria; Pseudomonadati; Pseudomonadota; Gammaproteobacteria; Pseudomonadales; Pseudomonadaceae.